UUGGCCUACGGGGCGCAGCAGUAGGGAAUCUUCCACAAUGGGGGAAACCCUGAUGCAGCAACGCCGCGUGAGUGAAGAAGUCAUUCGUGAUGUAAAGCUCUAUCAGCAGGGAAGAAAAUGACGGUACCUGAGUAAGAAGCCCCGGCUAACUACGUGCCAGCAGCCGCGGUAAUACGUAGGGGGCAAGCGUUAUCCGGAUUUACUGGGUGCAAAGGGAGCGUAGACGGCCAGACAAGUCUGAAGUGAAAAUCCAGCGCUUAACGUUGGAAGUGCUUUGGAAACUGCCGGGCUGGACUGUAG
This 300-nucleotide ribosomal RNA is filed under the name uncultured bacterium. Its description in RNAcentral is "bacterial SSU rRNA". It matches the Rfam family "Bacterial small subunit ribosomal RNA", at positions 334 to 651 of the family's 1533-position model. The record is from RNAcentral.